GAUGAAGAACGUAGCGAAAUGCGAUAAGUAGUGUGAAUUGCAGAAUUCAGUGAAUCAUCGAAUCUUUGAACGCACAUUGCGCCCCCUGGUAUUCCGGGGGGCAUGCCUGUUCGAGCGUCAUUACAACCCUCAAGCUCUGCUUGGUAUUGGGCCCCGCCAGUUCUGGCGGGCCCUAAAGUCAGUGGCGGUGCCUUCCGGCUCCGAGCGUAGUAAUUCUUCUCGCUCUGGAGACCCGGUUGUGUGCUUGCCAACAACCCCCAAUUUUUUAAGGUUGACCUCGGAUCAGGUAGGGAUACCCGCUGAAAUUAAGCAUAUCAAUAGCGGAGGA
Molecule: unclassified non-coding RNA, 328 nt
Filed under: soil metagenome
Description: partial contains 5.8S ribosomal RNA, internal transcribed spacer 2, and large subunit ribosomal RNA
Rfam family: 5.8S ribosomal RNA (bases 1-120)
Source: RNAcentral